ACGGUCCAGCUCCUAAGUGAGGCAGCAGUGGGGAAUAUUGCACAAUGGGCGCAAGCCUGAUGCAGCCAUGCCGCGUGUAUGAAGAAGGCUUUAGGGUUGUAAGUACUUUCAGCGGGGAGGAAGGCGUUGAGGUUAAUAACCUCAGCGAUAGACGUUACCCGCAGAAGGAGCACCGGCUAACUCCGUGCCAGCAGCCGCGGUAAUACGGAGGGUACAAGCGGUAAUCGGAAUGUCUGGGGGUAAAGCGCACGCAGGCGGUCUCUCAAGUUGGAUGUGAAAUCCCCGGGCUCACCCUGGGAAAUGCAUUCGAAACUGGCAGGCUAGAGUCUUGUAGAGGGGGGGGGAAUUCCAGGUGUACCGGUGAAAUGCGUAGAGAUCUGGAGGUAUACCGGUGGCGAAGGCGGCCCCCUGGACAAAGACUGACGCUCAGGUGCGAAAGCGUGGGGAGCAAACAGG
RNAcentral lists this ribosomal RNA (456 nucleotides) under uncultured Enterobacteriaceae bacterium. RNAcentral describes it as "bacterial SSU rRNA". It matches the Rfam family "Bacterial small subunit ribosomal RNA", at positions 326 to 776 of the family's 1533-position model. The record is from RNAcentral. Lineage: Bacteria; Pseudomonadati; Pseudomonadota; Gammaproteobacteria; Enterobacterales; Enterobacteriaceae.